This 62-nucleotide ribosomal RNA is filed under the name Janthinobacterium sp. YR213. The record is from RNAcentral. Lineage: Bacteria; Pseudomonadati; Pseudomonadota; Betaproteobacteria; Burkholderiales; Oxalobacteraceae.
GUGAAACAACUUUGCGCCGAUGAUAGUGCUGCAACCAGUGUGAAAGUAGGUUAUCGUCAGGC